RNAcentral lists this ribosomal RNA (491 nucleotides) under uncultured bacterium. RNAcentral's name for it is "partial 16S ribosomal RNA". It matches the Rfam family "Bacterial small subunit ribosomal RNA", at positions 29 to 507 of the family's 1533-position model. The record is from RNAcentral.
GUGAACGCUGGCGGUAGGCCUAACACCUGCAGGUCGAACGGCAGCACAGUAAGAGCUUGCUCUUCCGGGUGGCGAGUGGCGGACGGGUGAGGAAUACAUCGGAAUCUACUUUUUCGUGGGGGAUAACGUAGGGAAACUUACGCUAAUACCGCAUACGACCUACGGGUGAAAGCAGGGGAUCUUCGGACCUUGCGCGAUUGAAUGAGCCGAUGUCGGAUUAGCUAGUUGGCGGGGUAAAGGCCCACCAAGGCGACGAUCCGUAGCUGGUCUGAGAGGAUGAUCAGCCACACUGGAACUGAGGCACGGUCCAGACUCCUACGGGAGGCAGCAGUGGGGAAUAUUGGACAAUGGGCGCAAGCCUGAUCCAGCCAUACCGCGUGGGUGAAGAAGGCCUUCGGGUUGUAAAGCCCUUUUGUUGGGAAAGAAAAGCAGCAGGUUAAUACCCCGCUGUUCUGACGGUACCCAAAGAAUAAGCACCGGCUAACUUCGUG